Molecule: long non-coding RNA, 229 nt
Organism: Labeo rohita (rohu)
Lineage: Eukaryota; Metazoa; Chordata; Actinopteri; Cypriniformes; Cyprinidae
Exons: 2
Source: RefSeq, a predicted model, not a curated record
UUGUAGUCAAACUGUAACAUUAGCUCUGCCAGUUGAAAGGUUUUUCGUGUAACCUAAUGCAGAUACGGAGUCAUUGACCGUGUGUUUAUAUUACAUUUAAUCACUAAUCCACAACAUUACAGUAGUAUGAAGCUGGAGUCAUAGUAGUAUGGUCAACUACGUGCAUGUCCAUUAGUUGCGAAACUGGGGCAUUUCUUUCUUCUUCCACUAGAUGGCUGUGCAACAACAU